This 26-nucleotide non-coding RNA is filed under the name Rattus norvegicus (Norway rat). The record is from RNAcentral. Lineage: Eukaryota; Metazoa; Chordata; Mammalia; Rodentia; Muridae.
UGCAGAAGUUUGUGUUCUUUGAGGUA